GGGGAUCCAAGAUCUGAGAAGCGUACAUGGACGAGGAGUGGAAGCUGUCGAAGGAGAGAGGAAGAAUGGUGGUGGUGGCAGAGAGAGCAGGGUCCUUCCUGAAGGGGUCCACCAGCGCAAGGGAAGGGCGGCGGCGGAGGCGGCGGUCGACGCCCAGGUCGUUUACGAGCCGGUGCGUGCGUCUAGUCAAGGAGCAGCGAGGCAGGUUCUACAUCAUGCGCCGCUGUGUCACCAUGCUCAUUUGCUGGCGAGAUUACCCUUGACAUGUAGCAGUAGGAGUAGUAGGAUAAAUAUGUAUACACUUGUGAUCUUUCUCUUGGCAACAACAGGAAUCGAAGAAAGGAAAAGUAGCAGCCAAAAUAUAUAGACUAUUAACAUGCGUUCUUCUCUGUUCAUACUCUUCACCUUUGCUUUGGUCUGACUUUGGAUGGAUUUCUGAGGCAGCUGUGGUUGUUGUUCGUUACUCCGUUUCCUGCUUCACCGCAAACUGCAAUUAGCUGUGAGCUCAAAUCAGGGAAGGAGAAGAGAAGAGAGAGAGAGACUGUGCUCUACGGGGGCUACUCUUCUGGCAUCCAUUGGCGAUCCAGAAGAGGAUGGAAAGUUAAACUACUACAUUAAGGUAACUGGAAAAGGAUAUUUG
This 640-nucleotide long non-coding RNA is filed under the name Musa acuminata (dwarf banana). RNAcentral's name for it is "long non-coding RNA (MACU_LNC004284)". Lineage: Eukaryota; Viridiplantae; Streptophyta; Magnoliopsida; Zingiberales; Musaceae. The record is from RNAcentral.